Molecule: ribosomal RNA, 292 nt
Filed under: uncultured prokaryote
Description: partial 16S ribosomal RNA
Rfam family: Bacterial small subunit ribosomal RNA
Source: RNAcentral
GUGUCAGCCGCCGCGGUAAUACGUAGGUGGCAAGCGUUGUCCGGAUUUAUUGGGCGUAGGGCGAGCGCAGGCGGUUUCUUAAGUCUGAUGUGAAAGCCCCCGGCUCAACCGGGGAGGGUGAUUGGAAACGGGGAGACUUGAGUGCAGAAGAGGAGAGUGGAAUUCCAUGUGUAGCGGUGAAAUGCGUAGAUAUAUGGAGGAAGACCAGUGGCGAAGGCGGCUCUCUGGUCUGUAACUGACGCUGAGGCUCGAAAGCGUGGGGAGCAAACAGGAUUAGAUACCCCCGUAGUCC